RNAcentral lists this ribosomal RNA (406 nucleotides) under uncultured bacterium. RNAcentral's name for it is "partial 16S ribosomal RNA". It matches the Rfam family "Bacterial small subunit ribosomal RNA", at positions 30 to 526 of the family's 1533-position model. The record is from RNAcentral.
AUUGAACGCUGGCGGCAGGCCUAACACAUGCAAGUCGAACGAGUGGCGGACGGGUGAGUAAUGUCUGGGAAACUGCCUGAUGGAGGGGGAUAACUACUGGAAACGGUAGCUAAUACCGCAUACCAUCAGAUGUGCCCAGAUGGGAUUAGCUAGUUGGUGGGGUAACGGCUCACCAAGGCGACGAAGCCUAGCUGGUCUGAGAGGAUGACCAGCCACACUGUAACUGAGACACGGUCCAGACUCCUACGGGAGGCAGCAGUGGGGAAUAUUGAGCAAUGGGCGCAAGCCUGAUGCAGCCAUGCCGCGUGUAUGAAGAAGGCCUUCGGAUUGUAAAGCACUUUUAGCGGGGAGGCGUUACCCGAAGAAGAAGCCCCGGCUAACUCCGUGCCAGCAGCCGCGGUAAUUC